This 253-nucleotide ribosomal RNA is filed under the name uncultured bacterium. RNAcentral describes it as "partial 16S ribosomal RNA". It matches the Rfam family "Bacterial small subunit ribosomal RNA", at positions 524 to 776 of the family's 1533-position model. The record is from RNAcentral.
UACGGAGGGUGCAAGCGUUAUCCGGAUUCACUGGGUUUAAAGGGUGCGUAGGUGGGCAGGUAAGUCAGUGGUGAAAUCUCCGGGCUUAACUCGGAAACUGCCAUUGAUACUAUCUGUCUUGAAUACCGUGGAGGUUAGCGGAAUAUGUCAUGCAGCGGUGAAAUGCUUAGAUAUGACAUAGAACACCAAUUGCGAAGGCAGCUGGCUACACGAAUAUUGACACUGAUGCACGAAAGCGUGGGGAUCAAACAGG